UUCAGAGGAACCUGUCCUGUAAUUGAUGAUCCACGAUUUGAAUAACUUAUUUUAUUAGUUUAUAUAUCGUCGUAGGUUGAAUAUUUUAUUAGAAUUAUAAUAUUCAAGAUUUUUUAAGAAAAAUUAAAUCAGAUCAAGAUGUAGUUUAUAAAUAAGGAGAGAUGGGUUACAAUAGAAUUAUUUAAACGAAUUAUUUAUUUAAAAAUAAAUAUAAAGGUGGAUUUGAUAGUAAUUUUAAUUAAAUUAUUAAAAUGAUUUUAGCUCUAAAAUAUGUACAUAUCGCCCGUCAUUUUCACUAUAAAGUGAAACAAGUCGUAACAUAGUAGGUGUACUGGAAAGUGUACCUAGAAAGUCAAAUUAGAGCUUGUUAGAAAGCAUUUUAUUUACAUUAAAAAGUUUAUUGUGAAAAUCAAUAUAAUUUGAAUUUUAUUAUUUAUUUAAAUUUAAAGUUUAAUUUUAGUUAAAAAAAGUAAUUUUUAGUUUUAUUAUUAAAAAGAAAUAAUUUUUUUUAUUAUAGUAUAUUAGUAUUGUGAGAGAAAAUAUUUAAAUUUAUUAAAGAAUAAUUAAUUUUUAGUACCUUGUGUAUCAGGGUUUAUUAAAUAACAAUUAAAGAUUUAAUUUUCUCGAAUUUAAAAGAGCUAUAAAAAUAUAAUUUUUAAUGUAUCAUAAUUAUUGUUAAUAUUUUUAUAGAAAUGAAAUGUUAUUCGUUUUUAAAUAUAUCUAGUUUUUUAAGAAAUAAAUUUAAUUUAAUUAAUAUAAAUAUUUUGUUAAAUUAAUAAUAAAAUAUUAAUAUUAUUAAAUAUUUUAGGGGAUGAGCUUUAAAAUAUAGUUUUAUAAAUAAAUAUGAAUAUUUAAAUAAAUAGGAUUGUAAAUUUUCAUUUUUAGUAAUAUGUUAUAAUUAUUUUAAAUUAAUAUAUGAUUUAUAUUUAUUUUAAUUUUUUUAUUAAAAUGUUAAUUAUAAUUAUAAAAAUUAAGUAAUAAUGAUAAAAUUAGUAUAAUUUUUUGUAUAAUUAAUAAAUUAUAAGGUUAAAUAAAGGAAUUCGGCAAAUUAUUUUCACCUAAAAACAUGGCCUUUUGAUUUUAAUUUAAGGUCUAACCUGCCCAAUGAAAAUUUAAAUGGCCGCGGUAUUUUGACCGUGCAAAGGUAGCAUAAUCAUUUGUUUUUUAAUUGAAAGCUGGAAUGAAGGGUUGAAUGAGAAAAUAGCUGUCUCUGUUUAAUUUAAUUAGAAUUUUAUUUUUAAGUUAAAAAGCUUAAAUUUAAUUUGAAGACGAGAAGACCCUAUAGAGUUUAAUAAUUAUAAAUUUAAUUAAUUUAGAAUUAAUUUUUUUUAAGUAAAAUAAUUAUUUAAUUGGGGUGAUUAAAAAAUUAAAUUAACUUUUUUUGUAUAAAAACAUUAAUUAAUGAAUGAUUGAUCCUUUAAAAGAUUAAAAGAAUAAAUUACCUUAGGGAUAACAGCGUUAUUUUUCUUUAGAGUUCUAAUCGAAAGAAAAGAUUGCGACCUCGAUGUUGGAUUAAAAUUAAUUUUUGGUGUAGAAGCUAAAAAAUUGGGUCUGUUCGACCCUUAAAAUUUUACUUGAUCUGAGUUCAAACCGGUGUGAGCCAGGUUGGUUUCUAUCUCGAAUUAGUUAAAAUAUUUUAGUACGAAAGGAUCAAAUAUUUAAUUAAUAAUUUUUAUAAUGAAUAAUAUUAAUAUAAUGUUAUUUUGGCAGAAUAGUGCGAUGGAUUUAGAAUCUUUAUAUGUAAUUUUUACAAAUAACACUUGAUAUUGCAAGAUUUAUUUUUAAUAUUAAUUUCUAGUUUAAUGUUGGCUUUUUGUGUUAUAAUUGGGGUUGCUUUUUUGACUUUAUUAGAACGUAAAGUUUUAGGAUAUAUUCAAAUUC
RNAcentral lists this ribosomal RNA (1881 nucleotides) under Ischnopterapion loti. RNAcentral describes it as "partial 16S ribosomal RNA". The record is from RNAcentral. Lineage: Eukaryota; Metazoa; Arthropoda; Insecta; Coleoptera; Brentidae.